This 119-nucleotide ribosomal RNA is filed under the name Arabis alpina (gray rockcress). RNAcentral describes it as "rRNA ENSRNAG00050207699". Lineage: Eukaryota; Viridiplantae; Streptophyta; Magnoliopsida; Brassicales; Brassicaceae. The record is from RNAcentral.
GGGGUGCAACACGAGGACUUCCCAAGAGGUCACCCAUCCUAAUACUACUCUCGCCCAAGCACGCUUAACUUCGGAGUUCUGAUGGGAUCCGGUGCAUUAGUGCUGGUAUGAUCGCACCC